CACAACUGCAAAGCACCAAUCUCA
RNAcentral lists this non-coding RNA (24 nucleotides) under Arabidopsis thaliana (thale cress). The record is from RNAcentral. Lineage: Eukaryota; Viridiplantae; Streptophyta; Magnoliopsida; Brassicales; Brassicaceae.